Molecule: transfer RNA, 72 nt
Filed under: Schizothecium vesticola
Lineage: Eukaryota; Fungi; Ascomycota; Sordariomycetes; Sordariales; Schizotheciaceae
Rfam family: tRNA
About the family: Transfer RNA (tRNA) molecules are approximately 80 nucleotides in length.
Source: Rfam by way of RNAcentral
AGCUUGGUGGCGCAGCGGAAGCGCGCCGGGCUCAUAACCCGGAGGUCCCUCGAUCGAAAUGAGGCCAAGCUA